CUGGCCGUAAACGAUGAACACUAGAUGUUGGGGGAAUCGACCCCUCCGGUGUCGUAGCUAACGCGUUAAGUGUUCCGCCUGGGGAGUACGCACGCAAGUGUGAAACUCAAAGGAAUUGACGGGGGCCCGCACAAGCGGUGGAGUAUGUGGUUUAAUUCGAUGCAACGCGAAGAACCUUACCAAGGCUUGACAUCCUGCGAAUCUCCAAGAAAUUGGAGAGUGCCUUCGGGAACGCAGUGACAGGUGGUGCAUGGCUGUCGUCAGCUCGUGUCGUGAGAUGUUGGGUUAAGUCCCGCAACGAGCGCAACCCACGUUUUUAGUUGCCAGCAUUCAGUUGGGCACUCUAGAAAGACUGCCGGUGACAAACCGGAGGAAGGUGUGGACGACGUCAAGUCAUCAUGCCCCUUACGCCUUGGGCUACACACGUACUACAAUGCUGCGGACAAAGAGUAGCGAUCUUGCGAAAGUUAGCUAAUCUCGUAAACCGUGGCUCAGUUCAGAUCGUAGGCUGCAACUCGCCUACGUGAAGGAGGAAUCGCUAGUAAUCGCAGGUCAGCAUACUGCGGUGAGUACGUUCCCGGGCCUUGUACACACCGCCCGUCACACCAUGGAAGUUGGCCAUGCCCGAAGUCGUUACUCUAACCUUUUGGAAGAGGGCGCCGAAGGCAGGGCUAAUGACUGGGGUGAAGUCGUAACAAGGUAGCCGUAGCGGAAGCUGCGGCUGGAUCACCUCCUAA
RNAcentral lists this ribosomal RNA (737 nucleotides) under Candidatus Synechococcus spongiarum. RNAcentral describes it as "bacterial SSU rRNA". It matches the Rfam family "Bacterial small subunit ribosomal RNA", at positions 796 to 1533 of the family's 1533-position model. The record is from RNAcentral. Lineage: Bacteria; Bacillati; Cyanobacteriota; Cyanophyceae; Synechococcales; Synechococcaceae.